RNAcentral lists this unclassified non-coding RNA (233 nucleotides) under plant metagenome. Its description in RNAcentral is "partial contains small subunit ribosomal RNA, internal transcribed spacer 1, and 5.8S ribosomal RNA". The record is from RNAcentral.
UUUCCGUAGGUGAACCUGCGGAAGGAUCAUUAUUGGAUUUUGAAACUUCAGGCUGCUGCUGGCUCUCCUCGGAGGGCAUGUGCACGCUUGUUGUCCUUUAUUUCUCCCACUGUGCACAAAUUGUAGACCUUUCAGUAGGCCUAUGUUGUUUUUCACAAUCUCUGAAUGUAAUAGAAUGGUUUUGAAUCUUGGGAAAUACAAUACAACUUUCAGCAACGGAUCUCUUGGCUCUC